Molecule: ribosomal RNA, 301 nt
Filed under: uncultured bacterium
Lineage: Bacteria
Description: partial 16S ribosomal RNA
Rfam family: Bacterial small subunit ribosomal RNA
Source: RNAcentral
CAGCAGCCGCGGUAAUACAGAGGGUGCGAGCGUUAAUCGGAUUUACUGGGCGUAAAGCGUGCGUAGGCGGCUUCUUAAGUCGGAUGUGAAAUCCCUGAGCUUAACUUAGGAAUUGCAUUCGAUACUGGGAAGCUAGAGUAUGGGAGAGGAUGGUAGAAUUCCAGGUGUAGCGGUGAAAUGCGUAGAGAUCUGGAGGAAUACCGAUGGCGAAGGCAGCCAUCUGGCCUAAUACUGACGCUGAGGUACGAAAGCAUGGGGAGCAAACAGGAUUAGAUACCCCCGUAGUCCCUGUCUCUUAUCC